UACAUAUUAAUGAGAUGUGUGUUUAUUUUUUUUCUUUAAUUUUUUGCGGGGGCAUGAGAUAUGUGUUUUUGUCCAACUAUAAAAGCAUCAUCAAGGAGAAUAUUGGCACCAUAGGACGCAUAAACAAGAGUGGAAAAAGCAAGAGAAGACUUGCUAACUCGAGAUGGUGCUUACCAAGAGGAACGCAUGGGUCGUUUGCUUGGUAGUUCUUGUGGUCAUGGCCACAACCCUGCCCUUGUCGGCUUCAAAAGAGAAGAGGUGCUAUGAUAUGCCAGAUUGCUAUGAUCAGCGUUGCCGUGAAGAAUGUGUUGCAGCCGGUAUCGGCGACACAGGACACUGCAGAUUUUUUGUAGAAUGUUGUUGCAAUGUUUAGAAGAUAGCUCAAAACGCUUAUUUUGCCAGAAUAUGUACUGGUGAGAUGGUAAAAUUUGAUAUUAAAUAACUUUGAUAAAUAAUUUAUCUGGAUGGAUGUGAUAAAAAAGGUCGGUAAUUCCUUCUAAUAAAUACUCCGGCCGGCCCGGAAUUAGUUUAUGCUCA
Long non-coding RNA from Hordeum vulgare subsp. vulgare (domesticated barley), 537 nucleotides. RefSeq lists it as uncharacterized. The record is from RefSeq and is a predicted model, not a curated record. NCBI's taxonomy places the organism in Eukaryota, Viridiplantae, Streptophyta, Magnoliopsida, Poales, Poaceae. The transcript is spliced from 2 exons.